GGGCUUCGGCCCCGGUACAGUGGCGCACGGGUGAGUAACACGUAGGCAAUCUCCCCUCGAGUGGUGGAUAACCUUCCGAAAGGAGGGCUAAUACAGCAUGAGACCACGGAUCCGCAGAGUCUGUGGCCAAAGCGGACCUCUUCAUGAAAGUUCGCGCUUGAGGAUGAGCCUGCGGCCCAUCAGCUAGUUGGUAAGGUAAUGGCUUACCAAGGCUAAGACGGGUAGCUGGUCUGAGAGGACGAACAGCCACACUGGAACUGAGACACGGUCCAGACUCCUACGGGAGGCAGCAGUGGGGAAUCUUGCGCAAUGGGCGAAAGCCUGACGCAGCGACGCCGCGUGAGCGAUGAAGGCCUUCGGGUUGUAAAGCUCUGUGGGGAGAGACGAAUAAGGUGCAGCUAAUACCUGCAUCGAUGACGGUAUCUCCUUAGCAAGCACCGGCUAACUCUGUGCCAGCAGCCGCGGUAAGACAGAGGGUGCAAACGUUGUUCGGAAUUACUGGGCGUAAAGCGCGUGUAGGCGGCAGCGUGUGUCGGGCGUGAAAUCCCACGGCUCAACCGUGGAAGUGCACCCGAAACUGCGCAGCUAGAGUCCUGGAGAGGAAGGUGGAAUACUUGGUGUAGAGGUGAAAUUCGUAGAUAUCAAGUGGAACACCGGUGGCGAAGGCGGCCUUCUGGACAGUGACUGACGCUGAGACGCGAAAGCGUGGGGAGCAAACAGGAUUAGAUACCCUGGUAGUCCACGCCGUAAACGAUGAGUGCUAGGUGUCACGGGCUUUGACCCUCGUGGUG
RNAcentral lists this ribosomal RNA (791 nucleotides) under uncultured delta proteobacterium. RNAcentral's name for it is "bacterial SSU rRNA". It matches the Rfam family "Bacterial small subunit ribosomal RNA", at positions 75 to 845 of the family's 1533-position model. The record is from RNAcentral. Lineage: Bacteria; Deltaproteobacteria.